RNAcentral lists this transfer RNA (76 nucleotides) under Bacillota bacterium. RNAcentral's name for it is "tRNA-Ala". It matches the Rfam family "tRNA". Rfam says of the family: Transfer RNA (tRNA) molecules are approximately 80 nucleotides in length. Their secondary structure includes four short double-helical elements and three loops (D, anti-codon, and T loops). RNAcentral also lists the same sequence under 4 other names. The record is from RNAcentral. Lineage: Bacteria; Bacillati; Bacillota.
GGGGGUAUAGCUCAGCUGGGAGAGCGCUUGACUGGCAGUCAAGAGGUCAGGAGUUCGAUCCUCCUUAUCUCCACCA